GCGGAUGAGAGGAGCUUGCUCCUUGAUUUAGCGGCGGACGGGUGAGUAAUGCCUAGGAAUCUGCCUGGUAGUGGGGGAUAACGUUCCGAAAGGAACGCUAAUACCGCAUACGUCCUACGGGAGAAAGCAGGGGACCUUCGGGCCUUGCGCUAUCAGAUGAGCCUAGGUCGGAUUAGCUAGUUGGUGAGGUAAUGGCUCACCAAGGCGACGAUCCGUAACUGGUCUGAGAGGAUGAUCAGUCACACUGGAACUGAGACACGGUCCAGACUCCUACGGGAGGCAGCAGUGGGGAAUAUUGGACAAUGGGCGAAAGCCUGAUCCAGCCAUGCCGCGUGUGUGAAGAAGGUCUUCGGAUUGUAAAGCACUUUAAGUUGGGAGGAAGGGCAUUAACCUAAUACGUUAGUGUUUUGACGUUACCGACAGAAUAAGCACCGGCUAACUUCGUGCCAGCAGCCGCGGUAAUACGAAGGGUGCAAGCGUUAAUCGGAAUUACUGGGCGUAAAGCGCGCGUAAGUGGUUCGUUAAGUUGGAUGUGAAAGCCCCGGGCUCAACCUGGGGAACUGCAUCCAAAACUGGCGAGCUAGAGUACGGUAAGUAAGGUGGUGGAAUUUCCUGUGUAGCGGUGAAAUGCGUACAUAUAGGACGGGAACACCAGCUGGCGAAGGCGACCACCUGGACUGAUUCUGACCCUGAGGUGCGAAAACCGUGGGGA
This 712-nucleotide ribosomal RNA is filed under the name Pseudomonas sp. OC-A3-13. Its description in RNAcentral is "bacterial SSU rRNA". It matches the Rfam family "Bacterial small subunit ribosomal RNA", at positions 66 to 767 of the family's 1533-position model. The record is from RNAcentral. Lineage: Bacteria; Pseudomonadati; Pseudomonadota; Gammaproteobacteria; Pseudomonadales; Pseudomonadaceae.